GAUGAACGCUGGCGGCGUGCCUAAUACAUGCAAGUCGAGCGAACAGACGAGGAGCUUGCUCCUCUGACGUUAGCGGCGGACGGGUGAGUAACACGUGGAUAACCUACCUAUAAGACUGGGAUAACUUCGGGAAACCGGAGCUAAUACCGGAUAAUAUAUUGAACCGCAUGGUUCAAUAGUGAAAGACGGUUUUGCUGUCACUUAUAGAUGGAUCCGCGCUGCAUUAGCUAGUUGGUAAGGUAACGGCUUACCAAGGCAACGAUGCGUAGCCGACCUGAGAGGGUGAUCGGCCACACUGGAACUGAGACACGGUCCAGACUCCUACGGGAGGCAGCAGUAGGGAAUCUUCCGCAAUGGGCGAAAGCCUGACGGAGCAACGCCGCGUGAGUGAUGAAGGUCUUCGGAUCGUAAAACUCUGUUAUUAGGGGAGAACAAAUGUGUAAGUAACUAUGCACGUCUUGACGGUACCUAAUCAGAAAGCCACGGCUAACUACGUG
This 497-nucleotide ribosomal RNA is filed under the name uncultured bacterium. Its description in RNAcentral is "partial 16S ribosomal RNA". It matches the Rfam family "Bacterial small subunit ribosomal RNA", at positions 28 to 507 of the family's 1533-position model. The record is from RNAcentral.